RNAcentral lists this long non-coding RNA (919 nucleotides) under Homo sapiens (human). RNAcentral's name for it is "HSALNT0348612". Lineage: Eukaryota; Metazoa; Chordata; Mammalia; Primates; Hominidae. The record is from RNAcentral.
CACACCCCAUGUAGCCCCUUUCCACAUGGAAUCUGGGCUGGCCUGUGUGAUGAAUAGAAUAUGAUGGAAGUGAAAGUGGUGACCUCCAAGGCGAAGUCAAAAAGGCAUUGCAGCUUCUGACAUGGCCCUUGGGUCAGCUGCUCUGCAGGAAGCCAGCUGCCAUCCCAUGAGGAUGCUCAAGUAGCCCUGUGGAGGGGCCCCAGGGACACCGGGCACGGAUCAACAGCCGGCACCAAUCUGCCAGCCAUGAGUGAGCCACCUUGGGAGGGGAACCUCCAGUCCCGGUCCAGCCUUCAGAUGACUGCAACCUCAACUGACAUCCAACUACAACUUAGUGAGUGACUUUGAGCCAGAACUGCCCAGCCAAGCUGUCCCUGAAUUCCUGACCUACAGAAAUCAUGAGAGAUCAUCAGUGGUUAUUGUGCACAGGGUCUGAGACAAUCACAGCAGAGGAGCCUGCAGACAGCAGCGCAGGUGGGAGCUCAUGGCGUGGGAAGAGGCUACACAUUUCGGUGCCUGGAUUCCAAUCUACCUCCUUCACUGACUUGCUGUGACCCAAGGCAAAGCUGAUUAGUCUCCCUGAGCCUCAGUUCCCUCAAGUGUGAAAGUCAUAAUAACUGAAUUUUCAGUGCCACCAGGAUUGGAGAACACCUAUGAAUCUACCUGUAAAACUAAUGUUGGACAAAUGCUGCCUGAAGCUGAGCACGUCAGUGAGGAACAGCAGGACACACAGAGAGAGGGAAAGAAAGCACAGAAGAAAGAUGCUUCAAGAAAGGAAAACAUGGGUAGAGGGCAAGUUGAAAUGCCUAUAUUGCUAACUGUGGUGCUUCUUACAAAUGAGUCCUAUAUAUGACUAGUAUAUGUCAGACAUAUGUCAUAUAUGACAUACAUGUCAUAUAUGUCAUACGUAUAUACAUGU